RNAcentral lists this ribosomal RNA (551 nucleotides) under uncultured bacterium. RNAcentral describes it as "bacterial SSU rRNA". It matches the Rfam family "Bacterial small subunit ribosomal RNA", at positions 243 to 811 of the family's 1533-position model. The record is from RNAcentral.
AGCUUGUUGGUGAGGUAACGGCCCACCAAGGCAACGACGGGUAGCUGGAUCGAGAGGUUGACCAGCCACACUGGGACUGAGACACGGCCCAGACUCCUACGGGAGGCAGCAGUAAGGAAUUUUCCACAAUGGGCGAAAGCCUGAUGGAGCAAUACCGCGUGAAGGAUGACGGUCUUCGGAUUGUAAACUUCUUUUAUAUGUGAAGAUUAUGACGGUAACAUAUGAAUAAGCAUCGGCUAACUACGUGCCAGCAGCCGCGGUAAUACGUAGGAUGCAAGCGUUAUCCGGAAUUAUUGGGCGUAAAGAGUGUGUAGGUGGUUUGUUAAGUUAAAUGUUAAAUCCCAGGGCUCAACUCAGGGGCUGCAUUUAAUACUGGCAAACUUGAGGUUGUGAGAGGUAAGCGGAAUUAGCGGUGUAGCAGUGAAAUGCGUAGAUAUCGCUAGGAACACCAAUGGCGAAGGCAGCUUACUGGCACAAUCCUGACACUGAGACACGAAAGCGUGGGGAGCGAACGGGAUUAGAUACCCCGGUAGUCCACGCCGUAAACGAUG